UUUGCCAAAACACUUUCAGGGACACUACACGACUUCUAGCUCCUUCCUUCGCAAACACGUCUGCCACUUCAUUCUGCUCCCUAAUAUCUUGGUUGGUGGAACUGUUUGUGUCUCCUCUAUUAGUGACCUGCACUCAUUAAGCAGAUUAUGAUAGGAAAGGUGAUCAUUAGUGAGCAUUUGAAGUAUGGUACUAGAAUAAGUCUCAAUGCAAAAAUGGUGGAAAUUAUUGGCCUUAGUGAUGGUUAGACCAUGCCUUAGAGCUAAUAAUUCUGGUAUGGUAAGGGUAGUGUGUGGAAGAUGCAUGUAGUAUCCUAACAACCAGUUCCCAUUAUGAUUCCUGAAAACUCUCCCUAUCCCGCCCAUGCCUGGGUUGUCAAGGGCUGAACCAUCGAUGUGCAGUUUAAGCUGGACAUUGGUGGGUGGAUUCCACCUAAUAGCUAUUAUGGUGAUGUUAGCCUUAUGUGUGUGGUUUUGGUUAGCUAACAUGUUGAACUCACUGGCUAGGAAAAUGGCCAAGUUAAUAGAGAUAUGACUGCUCCUAUUAUUGAAAUUAUUGUCAUUUCUAUUGAGCCAAAUGACCCAAAGACAGCGGAGGAGAAGAGUGUCCCAAGUAAUCCAACUGUUGAUGGAUUUACCUUUAAGCUUUUGCCAAGCAGUUUCCCAGUUAGCUACAAGCCUACAACAAUAGUAGACCAGAUUUGGGUUAAUUUAAAAUGGGCCUACUGGAAUAGCUUAUCCCAUAAGUAGGUAGCAUUACGGCAUUGAAAAAAGAUGUGGUCAGCAGUUUCAUCCUGAUCUUGGCAUAAGCGAUAAUGCGGGGGGAUGGAAAGACCGAUGUGUCUCAGGUAGACGUUGGUAGGGAGCCUAUUAUGAAGCAACAGCCAGAGAAAAAUUUUGAUUUUAUUAGCAGUGUUUGCUUUCCACACCAUUCUGAAAUUUCUUUGGUUGUGGUGCAUAUCCCCCUGGUCUCUUAUGAGGUUGUACAUGCUGCCAGUAAUAGAGCAUUGCUGGUGAGGCCCCAAAUAAGCUUGUCCUCUUUAGUGGAGUUUUGAGGUAGAAGGGUGGUGGUUAUAACCUCUUUUAGUUGCUAGGGAAGUUCAAAAGAAAGAGUUCUGAAGUCCCAGCCACCAUUGUUGUGGAGGUUAUGGAUUGUAGUGUUCAUAUCAAUAGGGGUGAGAGGACCACAAAUAAGGCUGCUAAUGUUUCAUAAGUAAGGAAUCCAGUUGUCUAAGAAGAACCUUACCCUAUCCCCCUUGUUGACCCUCCGGUUAAUGCCCUUAGAGCAGUCAGUCCAACCCCUUAAGAUAUUUUUCCAAGUCCUUGAUCCGAGGUCAGAAUAGUUGUUCUGGUAUUUUGUAGCGAGAAUUCUACCCCACAAACUUGUGGGGUGUGUAGAAAGCCUCCAGGAUAGGCUAGCAAGAAGGGCUCUAUUCCUAGUUAUAGACACGUGAUUUUUGACCCUCCCCGAGUGUAAAAUAUAUAUAUAUUUUGAUAUUAAAUAUUUAUAUUAUAAUAUAUUUAAUCAUAUAUUAUUUUGAUUCUUAUUUUUAUUUUUAAUAAAUUUUUAGUUAAAAAAUAAAUAACUAAAUAAAGUUAGUUUCAAGAUAUAUAUAUANNNNNNNNNNNNNNNNNNNNNNNNNNNNNNNNNNNNNNNNNNNNNNNNNNNNNNNNNNNNNNNNNNNNNNNNNNNNNNNNNNNNNNNNNNNNNNNNNNNNNNNNNNNNNNNNNNNNNNNNNNNNNNNNNNNNNNNNNNNNNNNNNNNNNNNNNNNNNNNNNNNNNNNNNNNNNNNNNNNNNNNNNNNNNNNNNNNNNNNNNNNNNNNNNNNNNNNNNNNNNNNNNNNNNNNCACCAUUUUGGGUUUUCCCCCCAAAAAUUCCCCUACAAAAGGGACUCUUCCGACAUAUGUAGAGAGGGAUUUUUUUUUUCUUUCCUACCAGAAACCAGAUUCUGCAUACCUACAAACUACGUAUUUUUCAUCAGAAAGAAAACAGAGACCGAGAGAAAAAUAGACACUAAAAAGAAAAAAAGAUCAGGAAGAGAGAAAACCAAAACAAAGAAAGAAAUGGUUGUAAAUUGAGUUUCAGAUUUUCGUUCGAGUCCUGGUGACAGUAUUCUUGCUUUCAAAUUCAUUUUUAAUUAAUCAGGUUCUUAUCAAAUCUGUACUAUUUACUUUAAAGUGUUGUUGUGAAUCGAAGCAUGAUUAAAAAUUAUUUAAAAGAUUUCAUUGUUAUUUGUUACGUGAAUUUUAUUAUAUACAUGAUGUGAUUUUUAAUUUUAGUUACAUGUUUAAAUAUAUUUUUUUUCUUCUUUCCUUCCGAAUUUAAAAGUUGUAUGUGAAUUUGGUGUAUAUAAAAAUACUAAAUGUGAUUCAACUAUGUUUGAACUAAUUAAAUAUUGUUAAUUAUUCUUUAAUGGAAAGAAUGUUUAUUGUUUCCCUUUUGCUGUCGGACAUCAAGAAAAAAAAAGUAUACAGAAUACUGAAUAUUCGUAUCUACAAUGAAUGAAGUUUCUAAAAAAAAAAAAAAAAGGGUUUACACACACUAACGUUGUUAUUAUUGAAAGAAGAAAGAGAGAAAGCCGGACUAAUCAAUGGUAGAGUUUUUUUUUUUUUUAUAAAAGAAAAAAAUGGGAUCUGGAUGGUUGUUGUGCGUGUGUUUUGAGAAAUUAUCUUUGUAUAGUUUAUUUUACAAAUUGGGAAUCCAUCACUUUGUAUCUUUCAUUAAUUUUAUAUUAUUUUAUUUGUGGUCAUUAAUAAGACUUUAUUAUUUUAUUAUUACAAUAAUUCUUUUUAAACGAAAAUUGUUAUAGAUCAUUAUUAAGGUUAGAUAGAAAUUUUAGUAGGUACGUCCUUAAUAUUAGGUAAUUAGGUAAAUUUUUAGGUUCGUUUAAAAUUUUCAUCUCAAUUAAGAAUGCGACAUACGCAUCUUUUUGAGACAUUUAAAAUUCAAGGAUGCAAUAAUGCACUUUGAUAAAUAUUUUUCUAAAACUAAUUUUCACUAAUUUAAGAUAUAUAGACAAAUAUUUGGUAUAGUAAAAAUGAGCGAAUUUAGGCCUUAACACGAUUCAUCAAAAUAGUUUAAGUCAAUAUAAGUCAAUAAAAGCGACCGUGCUAGAACCACGGGACUCGAGGGGUGCCUCACAUCUUCCUCUCGGUCAACAGAAUUCCUUACCCAGUUUUCUAUUUUUGCAGACCAGCAAAGAGUCAUUUCCUUUUGAUUAAUGAUUCAAUAAGGUGACUUGAAAUACCAUAACUCAAUUCCAACACCAUAAUUGGAAAAAUCCUUCGACCUCGAACCUUCGGGCGAAAAAGGGGUGUGACAUCUCUGGCAACUCUGCUGCGGAAUAAUAAGAAUUUGAGCUUUUGAUAUUGACUUUACCUGCUUUAAUUAUUUUUGAUAUUGUGUUUAUUGGCCUUAUGUGCUACUUGUUGCUCAUUUACUGCUUUGAUAUUAUUUGAACUAUAUUAUAUAUUGUCUUCUCUCGCGUACCCCCUCUGAGUCCCUGAAAUAGGAUAGAGGGAAUGCAGCAUAUGCAUCCCACCUUCUUUUUGAGAUAGCCGGAGUGUCAAGGCACCUGGUGAAGGAUAUAGUUACACAUGCUAGGCGGGGUUCGGAUCGACAAUGAAGGUGGUGUUGCCCUGCUACCGACCAAGUUGUCCCUCCCUGGCUCGAGUGUCCGCUCGGGUAAGCCAUCUAGACACCUAUCCCUAAUAGGUUUAAACUUAGAAGAAUUGAAAACUCAGAAUCUGGUCAUCCCUAUUAGGUGCCGCUUUAUUUACAUCAUAUGCAUUUGAUUUAGCGGGACUCGGCAUAGGGGUUGGGUUUGUCUAGGACAGGUGACCUAUUUUAUAAAGACCAACAUGUGCAUCCAACGUGAUCUUUGACAUUUGUUUGGAAGGCUAUUUGUUUGUUGAGCGGCUUUAGACAACUUUAAAAUGCAAAAGAUUAAUUUAUCCUCACAUUUAGUGAAUCAUUUUUUUUUUUCAAAGAAAAUUUUAUUUUUAAAAGAAAGAAAUUUUUUUAAAUAUAUAGUAACAUAGUUUUACGAUCUUCAUGAACUACAAGGGUCUGAUUCUCACUCUUUAUUGAGAUACGUAGGAAGCCCUUUUCGGGGUACGACCCUAUCUUUUGAAAAAUUAUUCAUAGAUUUAUUGGAGAAUGUUUUGAAAAUAUGAUUAAAAAAUUUUAUUUUUAAAAGAAAGAAAAAAUUUUAGUAACAUAAUUUUAUGAUCUUCAUGAACUGCGAGGGUCUGAUUCUCACUAUUUAGCGGGAUACGUAGGAAGCCCUUUUCGGGGUACGACCCUAUUUUUUGAAAAAUUAUUCAUAGAUUUAUUGGGAAAUAUUUUGAAAAAAUAAGAUUACUUUCAUGAUUAUUUUUCUAAUCCUCAAGUCCAAUUUUUGUAUAUCUUAAUAGCCUUGAAUCUUUAGGGAUCAUGAGGUUAAGUUUUUAUAAAAUAAAUAAAAAUAUAUAAAUCUUAAUAGCCUGAAUCUUUAGGGAUCAUGAGGCUAAAUUUUUAUAAAAUAAAUGAAAAUAUAUAAAUUUUAACAGCCCUGAAUCUUUAGGGAUCAUGAGGCUAAGUUUUUACAAAUAUAUAUAUAUAAAUCUUAAUAGCCCUGAACCUUUAGGGAUCUUGAAGCUGAAUUUUGUACGACAUAUAUUUCAAGAACUACACACACUUUAUUCUCAUUUUAUUGAGAUAUGUAGGCAGUCCGUAAUGGAUUCGGUGAUCUUUUAAAAAAUGAUUGUCUUCCCUUUUAAACUAAAAAAAAAAAGUUGUUUUCAAAAAUGAAAAAAUAUUAUUUAAUAAAUAAAUAAAUUUCUCAUUAUUCAAAAAAAAAAGAAGAAAAAAGAGGUAUAUUUCUUCGUAUCUCCAAUUUUCAAGAACUACGCAUACCUGAUUCUCGUUUUAUUGAGAUAUGUAGGCAGUCCUUAAUGGAUUCGGUGAUAUUUUAAAAAAUUGUUGUCUUUCCUUUUAAACUAAAAAAAAAGUUGUUUUCAAAAAUGAAAACAAAUUAAUAUUAUUUAAUAAAUAAAUAAAUUUCUCAUUAUUCAAAAAAAAAAAAGAGAAAAAAAGGUAUAUUUCUUCGUAUCUCCAAUUUUUGAGAACUACGCACACGUGAUUCUCAUCUUAGUGAUAUAUAUAGGCAAACCUUUUAGGGUUCGGUGAUCUUUUAAAAAAAGAACAUAAAAGAAAAAGAGUUUUUGAAAAAAUAACAUUUUGACGCCUUUGUUAUUUCUUAUACAGUUAGUUUAAGGUGGUUGGUUUGUGGUAUUUUGGCUGGUCCUCCACAUCACACCAAAUCUAAAGAAGGUUUAAUUGUGUCCAACAAGGAUAUAGAAAUUGACUUCAUGGAUCACACAAUGAGUCAUGAAGAUGAGAGUUUAAAGGAAGAGAAUUUGAGACUAAGGCAACAAAUGAUGGAAAUGUAUCGAGCUUGGGCCAGUGAGCAUCCUCCUCCUCCGUUCCCCACUAUUAAAGACGGGGGCAUAUCUUCAAGUGUCAACCUUCUUCAAAACUUUGAGAUAUCGAAAUUUAAGGAACAUGAUGGACAUGAGGAUUUUGUGAAGCAUUUGGGACGAUAAUGCAAUCGAUCAAGGGAAAUUGAAAAAGGAAAGAAGAAAGAAAACACAUUUAUUGUCAUGCCAGGGCCAAAGCAGAGUUUGAGAGGUCCAACCCACCAAUACUGUCAGCCUCAAUCCCGAUCUUACAUAUUAGAUCCACACAACCAGAUGCAACAAGGUUCCUUUCUCCAAAAUCCAAGAAAUCCCAUUCCACUUCCUCAAUAUCCUUUGAAUAAUGCACAGUCGUAUGCUCAUCCAUCUUCCUAUCCACAAUAGCGUGUCCCGGCCCCUCAACGUCGUCCUCGACCCUCAUAAAUUUACCAAGAAACCUCUAAAUUCAAGUUUCAUCCGAGGCCAGAGUUUGCAAUGAGGAGGAAGGCAAAAGAUAAUUUCACGCCAAUUGGGGAUUCCUAUACCAGUUUGUUCCAGACAUUAAGGCAAUGGGGCAUGAUUACUCCCAUCCCUGGAUAUAUUCCCGAUCCACAUUCAAAACAUUUUGAUCCUAAUGUACUAUGUGCUUAUCAUUAUAAUAUGCAAUUUUACAGUACUGAAGAUUGUCGUAUUUUGAAAAGAGAAAUAGAGAAAAUGAUUCAAGAAAAAUUAAUUGUGGUGCAAAACGUUGGCACCUCAACCGUCCCACCGAGUUCUUCGCCAGCACGUAAUACUGCACGAUAUGUGGGAAACACUGAGUCAAGUAUGGGGACCCAGAACUUAUUUGUUGAAGGAAAUGUGUCUGAUCGUGGUGAAAGCUCUAGUCAUGUUGAAAUGCAAAUCAAUGGCUAAGUUGUCAGGCUAAGCAAUUGAGAAGUCACCCCUCUCCCUACUAGGAAGAGAUCCAGUAGUUUGUUUUGUUUUCUUUUUUGUUACUCGAAUUAUUUUAGAGUUGUAGUUUAGGACCUAUCUUGUUUGAUUUUUUUUAUCGUUUUUGUUCAAACCCUUCUAUCUUUCGGUCAACAAAAUGUGUGUCCUUUUUGUUUUUAAUUCUCAAUAUAUAUUAUUUUUUCUUUUCUUUUCUUCAAAGAGCUCUUUAUAUGGUGAUUCUGGUAAUACGAUAAGCAUGUUGAAUUUUCAGUCAGACCUUAAAACGCAAUCUAAUGUUGAAACAUUCGUUCAAGAACCUAGAGUUGAAAAGAAAAUGUAAGAAAAAUAAGUAAAGUGUUGAGAUGUUUUGGAGACCAAGUUACAUCCUCACUUGUAUAUUUUGAGACAAUCACUUUGCGAAUAAAAAAUGACUUGAUCUUCAAUGAGAAGGUUCAACUCAAGCAUUUUUGAAUGAGAUCAACCAGAGAUAUAUAGUUUCUAUUGUCAGAAGAAGCAAAAGGAAGUUAGCUAAAAAAAAAGACAGAGAAGAAGUCAUCUGUUGUGAGGAAAGCACAAUACAAGUAGACCUGUAUGGUUUACAAGUUUAAAAGAAGUGACACACGUGCAUGUGCUUAGUCACGAUCAAUAUUGAAAAAAUGCGCAUGAUCUUCAUGUUCCAUUCCUAGAUUGCAUGUUAUGUACUUGUGUUUUUAAGGAUUGAUAUGACGAAGGUAUUUCAUUCUGCUAUCCAAAUGUUGUGUCAUCCUUAGUUACCUCUUUUGAGUUUUUAUUUUAUUUCUUUUAUAUCCCUCUUUUGGAAUCAAAUUAGAGUCUGAAAAAAAUUCAAAAAAAAAAAAAGAAAAGUGUCAAGAAAAAUAAUAGAGUCAGAAAAGUGUCAAGAAAAAAUAUAUCUCUCUCUCUAAAAAAAAAAAGAAAAAGAGAAAUGUCUAGAAAAAGAAAGAAAGAAAGAAAAUCAAGCAAAAGAACAAGAUUCCUGAACUACAUUUGACCUGAUUCUUGUUAUCACAAGAUACGUAGGCAGCCCUACUCUGGGGUUCGGUCCAACCAAAAGAAAAUUGUAAUUACCCGGAAUGAAUUGAAAUUGAGGCAAAGUUUAUUUUCUUUAAAAGAGUCGAUUCCAAAAGUUGUAUGUUUCUCCCAAUAUUAUGUAAAUUUUUGAGCCUCAUGCCUCCCUUUCUUUCUAACCUUUUUCAAAAGCCAAGUUACAACCGAAGAAAGACCUUCAGAUUGAUCUUUGAGAAUGUCAAGGCUAAACAUGUUAUGGGUGCAUGAUGUUUCGUAUGAUGGGUAUUAAUUUUCAAAAAAAAAUGAAAAAAAAAUGAUGAUGAAAAAUGAAUGAGUAAAAAUGAGAGAGUCUUAUUGGUGAAAACCCUUUUGGGCACCAUAAGACGACAGUGAGCUGAAAAAAAAAUAAAAAUGAGAUAGGCGUUGGCAAAAACCCAUUGAGGUGUCACUAGCCGAAGAAGGAUUGUGAUCUAGAGGAAGCAUAUUCAAGAUUGAUUCCAUUUCAAACUCAAUAAGUGAACAAGAUUUGUAAUGAUUAGUAUGGGUAGAUUAAGUUGAUUAAUUCAAAAUGCAUGUCAUGAUUGCUGGAAUUGGCUACCACACCCAAAUAAGUUUUCUUCUGUCGUUUAAAAAAAUGCCUAUUGCUUUUCCCUUUUCUUUUUAUUUUUUUAUUUUUGAUUUUUGGUAUCUUGGUCAUCAAAUAAAAAUUAUUGUCAUUUUUCUCAUGUCUUUGAGUCAAGUCCGUGUCAUAACAAGUGAGAAAAGAUUUUAAAACGACUACUAGCUUCUUCAAUUGCACAAAGCAAGACAAAAAGCCAACAUAUAAAAGAGACAUGAUUGUGAGUCGAAAUAAGACAUGUAGAAAAUUUUAUAAACAGAUGAGUCUGGGAACUAAUGAAUAUGCUAAGGUUCAAAGGUUUUAUUUUUAGAGCACGGCAAAGCAGAGAUACUGUGUUUGUUUCAAAGUCACUUAUGAUAAUCUGAGUUUGGGUUAACGAUGAUGCAAGUCGGUGACAGAUGCUAAUGGUUGGAAGCAAGGUUAAAUGUAACGAGAGCAAGAGUGAUAGCCACGGAAGCCAAAACCACAAACUUGCCACCAUGUUUUUGAACUUACAAGUUUUCUUUGAUGAAACAGGAAAUAUGUUACCUUCAAUUUAAGGACUUCAGAGCAUAAAUAUCAAGAGCUGCAAUGCCUCAUUUCCACAAAUGUAGGAAACAAUGUUGCUGCACAGGUUUGAUAAUCAAAUUAUGGUAAAAUUCAACCCCUAGGAGACGCACUUCCUAGUCUGAAUAAGUUAGUUUUCAUUUGUUAGGUGAUGUACUUCCUAACUUCAACAUUCACUCCUAGAAGACAAACCUUUUAGUCGAGUCACUCCCCGUGAUUCCUAUAAGACAUAUCUUUUAGUCGAGUCAUCCCCCUUGAUUCCUAUAAGAUGAAACUUUUAGUCAAGUUACUCCUCGUGAUUCCUAUAAGACGUACCUUUUAGUCGAGUCAUCCCCUUGAUUCCUAUAAGACGAACCUUUUAGUUGAGUCACUCCCUUGAUUCCUAUAAGACUUACCUUUUAGUCGAGUCAUCCCUCUUGAUUCCUAUAAGACGUAUCUUUUAGUCGAGUCAUUCUCCUUGAUUCCUAUAAGACUUACCUUUUAGUUGAGUCAUUUUCUAAGUACAAACUGGGGCAAACAUUCUGUUCGUGUUUAUUGAAUUUUACUUUCUGCUCAGGACCUUCCUGAAGAAUGAAAAUUUAUUUUAUGUCCAGGACCCUCCUGAAGAAUGGGAUGUUAUUUUUCUAUUUGACCUUUUAUUUUGAGUUCAGGAACAUAUUUUAAAAAAUCAGAAAAGGGAAGUCUAGGAGUCCGCCUGAAGAAUAGGGUGAAGAAACAAAGAAAGUCUGGGAGCCCACCUAAAAAAUAGGGUGAAGAAAAAGGAAAGUCCAAGAGCCCGCCUGAAUAAUAGGGUUAAGAAACAAAAGAAGUCUAGGAGCCCGCCUAAAGAACAGGGUGAAGAAAAAGGAAAGUCCAGGAGCCCGCCUGAAGAAUAGGGUAAAGAAAUAAAGGAAGUCUAGGAGCCCGCCUAAAGAACAGGGUGAAUAAAAAGGAAAGUCCAGGAGCCCGCUUGAAGAAUAGGGUGAACAAAAAAUGAAGUUUAGGAGCCCGCCUAAAGAACAAGGUGAAGAAAAAUUGAAAGUCUAGGAGCCCGCCUGAAGAACAAAGUGAAGAUAAAGGAAGUCCAGGAGCCCGCCUGAAGAACAGGGUGAAGAAACAAAGGAAGUCUAGGAGCCCGGCUAAACAACAGGGUGAAGAAAAAGGAAAGUUCAGGAGCCCGCUUGAGGAACAGGAUGAAGAAGCAACAAAUCAGGAGCUCGCUUGAAGAACAGGGUGAAGAAGUAACAAGUUAGGAGCCCACCUGAGGAACAGGAUGAAGAAGUAACAAGUUAGGUGCCCACCAAAUGAACAGGGCGAAGGAAAAGUAAACCAAGAGUCGCCUGAAGAAUAGGGUGAAUUUUCAAGUUCAAGUCAACGAAGAUUAGAAUCAAGAUUCUAAAGAUUGUAAUUUUCACUUAUAUUUUUCAUUUUUGCUUUUUUGUUAGUCAUUUGAGUGUAAAAGGCAGAAGUCGUUAACCAGAAACUCGACGGAAUCUCACUCGACUUUAAUUUUUAUCUCACCAUAUUACCUUUGAACAACAAGUGACCUGAUGCCCUCAUAACCCAGGAUAUGUAGGUGGUCCAAAAUCAGGACUCGGUUGCAUUUUCUUUUUCCUUUUAUAUUCUUUUUGAAUAAUUGGAGGAUCAAAAAUCAUAUCUUUGUUUACUUCUUUGUAUGAAAACACUUUGAGAUUUCAAACAAAGAGGGGCAAAAUGUAGACACGUGAUUUUUGACCCUCCCCGAGUGUAAAAUAUAUAUAUAUAUAUAUUUCGAUAUUAAAUUUAAAAAUAUUUUCAUAAAUUUUUAAUAAAUAAAUUAGUAGUUUAAAUACUAUUUUAUUAUAUUUAUAUUUAUCUAUUUACAAAUUGUUAUUAUGUUUAUUAAAAAUAAAUAAAUAAAUUAUUAUUAUAUUAUUAUUAUUAUCUUUCUUUAUUAUUAUUAUUAUUAUUAAUAUAUAUAUAUAUAUAUAUAUAUACUAAUUAAUAAAUAUUUUCAAAUUUCAAAAAAGUAAAUUCUAUCCUAUAUCUGAUAACUACUCCCCCUCAUUUUGGUUUUCCCCCCCAAAAAUCCCUUUACAGAAGGAACUCUUCCUACAUAUGCAGAGAGGGUUUUUGUUUUCCUUUCCUAUCAGAAACCAGAUUCCGCAUACCUACAAACUACGUAUUUUUCAUCAGAAAGAAAACAGACACUGAGAGAAAAAUAGACAGUAAAAAGAAAAAAAGAUCAGGAAGAGAGAAAACCAAAACAGAGAAAGAAACGAUGGUAAAUUGAGUUUCAGAUUUUCGUUCGAGUUCUGGUGACAGUAUUCUUGCUUUCAAAUUCAUUUUUAAUUAAUCAUGUUCUUAUCAAAUCUGUACUAUUUACUUUAAAGUAUUGUUGUGAAUCGAAGCAUGAUUAAAAAUUAUUUAAAAGAUUUCAUUAUUAUUUGUUACGUGAAUUUUUUUAUAUACGUGAUGUGAUUUUUAAUUUUAGUUACAUGUUUAAAUAUAUUUUUUUUCUUCUUUCCUUCCGAAUUUAAAAGUUGUAUGUGAAUUUGGUGUAUAUAAAAAUAUUAAAUGUGAUUCAACUAUGUUUGAACUAAUUAAAUAUUGUUAAUUAUUCUUUAAUGGAAAGAAUGUUUAUUGUUUCCCUUUUGCUGUCGGACAUAAGGAAAAAAAAAAUAUACAGAAUACUGAAUAUUCGUAUCUACAAUGAAUGAAAUUUCUAAAAAAAAAAAAAGUUUACACACACUAACGUUGUUAUUAUUGAAAGAAGAAAGAGAGAAAGCCGGACUAAUCGAUGGUAGAGUUUUUUUUUUUUUUUUAAAGAAAAAAAUGGGAUCUGGAUGGUUGUUGUGCGUGUGUUUGAGAAAUUAUGUUUGUAUAGUUUAUUUUACAAAUUGGGAAUCGAGAAUAGUAUAAUAGGUAUCACUUUGUAUUUUUCAUUAAUUUUAUAUUAUUUUAUUUAUGGUCAUUAAUAAGACAUUAUUAUUUUAUUAUUACAAUAAUUCUUUUUAAACGAAAAUUGUUAUACAUCAUUAUUAAGGUUAGAUAGAAAUUUUAGUAGGUACGUCCUUAAUAUUAGGUAAUUAGGUAAAUUUUUAGGUUCGUCUAAAAUUUUCAUCUCAAUUAAGAAUGCAGCAUACGCAUCUUUUCGAGACAUUAAAAUUCAAGGAUGCAAUAAUGCACUUUGAUAAAUAUUUUUCUAAAACUAAUUUUCACUAAUUUAAGAUAUAUAGACAAAUAUUUGGUAUAAUAAAAAAGAGCGAAUUUAGGCCUUAACACGAUUCAUCAAAAUAGUUUAAGUCAAGAUAAGUCAAUAAAAGUGACCGUGCUAGAACCAUGGGACUCGAGGGGUGCCUCACACCUUCCCCUGGGUCAACAGAAUUCCUUACCCAGUUUUCUAUUUUCGCAGACCAGCAAAAAGUCAUUUCCUUUUGAUUAGGGAUUCAAUAAGGUGACUUGGAACACCAUAACUUAAUUCCAAGUGGCGACUCUGUAAAUAAAAUAAUCCCUAUUCAAUAUCGUCACUUUAAUUGAAAAAACCCUUCGACCUCGAACCUUCGAGCGAAAAAGUGAUGUGACACUAGUCCCACUUUUAUGAAUUCCUAACCCUCCUUUAUCUUUGGGGUUAGUGAGAGUGUCCCAACUAAGAAGGUGGAUUUUUCUUUUCUCAAACACAACUGCCCUAAACAAAGUCUCUCUAUAUUUUAUUAAUGUGCUCAUGACUUUGCUAGGCAGCUUAAUGUAAUGCAUGAUGUGAGUAAGAAUGCUGCUUAAAGUGGAUUUGGCAAGCACAGUUCUACCGGCCAUAGUAAGGAACUUGAUUUUCCACCCAGUAAAUCUUGAUUUCAUGUUAUCCAAUAUAAAUUGAAAAUCACUAUUUUUAGGCUUGCUAUGAAAAAUGGGGUAGCCUAGGUACUUACCAAAAGCUUGGCUAGCCUUGAUGUUGAGGGUCUUGGCACAAAGAUCAGCAUUUUCAAGAGUACAGUUCUUUGAAAAAAUGACUUUGGACUUAGUAUUAUUGAUGAUAUGCCCAGAAAAGAGGCUGAAGAUUUUCAAAAUAUUGACAAUAGUGUGGUAGUAGUGUGGCAGUUGCUGGGGUUAGCUUUUGCAAGUAACGUGAGAUCAUCAGCAAAGAAAAAAGGGAAGAGUCUAGGGACUCUAUUGGUAAUGCUUAUGGGAUCCCAUCUUUUGGCAUUCACUUCAGAUUCAAUACCUCUAGAAAGUCUCUCCAUACAGAGAAUGAAGAGGUAGGGUGACAUGGGAUCCCGCUGUCUGAUGCCCAUAGAGGGAUUAAAGGAUCCAGUCCUACACCCAUUCACAAGAACAACAAUUGAGGAGGUGGUCACACAAUACAUGAUAAGGUUAGUGAGGUUGGAAGGAAAACCAAAGAAUAGGAAGGUGUCCUUUAUGAAUGACCAUUCAAUCUUGUCAAAAGCCUUCUCAAGGUUAAUUUUCAGAAUCAUGUUGGAAUUUUUUUUCCCUCAUUUUGCUUAAAUGAGUGAUGUAAUUCCUAAAUGAUUAUGGCAUGGUCAGAAGCCCUUCUAUUGGCUAAGAAGCUAGCUUGACUGGGCCCAAUAGUGGAAGGGAGGUAAGGCUUGAUCCUGUUAAUAAUGAUUUUGAUAAUAAAAUUAUAGGAGGUGUUAUAUAGGCCUAUGGGCCCGAAGUUUUUUAGACUGACAACAUUGUUGUAUUUGGGGAUGAGGCAAAUCAGAGUUGCAUUAUUAUCAAGAGGCAUUGAAAAGGUGGAGAAGACUUCUUUACAGAAGUUUUUGGUUUUGGUUCUUAUUAGAUCCUAGAAUUUUUGAAAAAAAAAGAGUGGAGGCCAUUUGGGCUAGGAGCUUUGAGGGGUUUAAAGGAUUUGAGAGUCACCAUGAUUUCAGUAUCCUUAAGGGGUAAAUCUAGGGUGGAUCUGUUGUCCUUAGAGAGUGUGUGGAAGUUAUUGAUAGGCAUAAAAUUGGUUGUUAGUGCUACUGAUAUGACUGGUGGUGAAGAGGUCCCUAAAGUGCCUACGGAUGUAAGCUUGGAUGUUAAUUUCACUAGAGAUAAGGUUGCCAACAUCAUCUCUGAGCUCAGUGAUUCAAUUCCUCCUUCUCCUAUUGAUGGUAGAGGUAUGGAAGAAGGAAGUGUUAGCAUCCCCCUCAGUAAGCCAGGAUAUCCUAGACUUGGCUUUCGAGAAAUUCUUUUCACAUUUGAGCAUGCUAUCAUAGUCACCAAGGAGUUCAUUCUCUAGGUUUUAGAGGAAAGAACUAGUAUGGUAAUAAGGGAAUUUUCGGAUGCCAUCUAGUCUAGCCAAUAUAGUCCUAAGCCUGUGGAAAAUAUUGUGAAAGACAGUGUUGUUCCAGUGGGUAACAGUAGUAUGAAAUUGGGAAAUAGAAUUAUGAAGAGAGUUGGGGCCUAGGAAUCACUUUUCCACUAAUCCAUGGAAGCCACAUAGGCUCAAAUCUAAAGGGUUUAUCUCUAAGUCUUCUAGCUUUAUUAGAGAGGGAAAUGGGGAGGGGCAAUGAUCAGAUUUAGUUAUGAGAGAUGGGUGAUGAGGUAAUUAGUGAAGUGAUUUAUGCAGGAGGUAUUAGAAAUACAUCUAUCAAGCCUCUCCUAGAUAAGGCACCUUCUAUUUCAAUAUCUCUUAUUAGUCCAGGUGUACUUACAACCCCUAUAACAUAGGUCCACCAUGUUGCAAUAAUCUAAGUAUUCCCAGAAAAGGUUGGACCUAUUAUUACUGAUGGGAUCUCCCCCUAAUUUCUUAUUAGCUUCAAGGAUAUCAUUAAAGUCCCUUCCCAUAAGCCAAUCACCAGUAAAGGUAUUAUCUAUAUUUCGAAGUUUAUCCCAAAGCAAGAGUCUAUUAUUGAGUUCAGGGCUAACAUAAAUAUCCAACAAGAUAAAGGUAUUGUGGUUACUACUAACCUUGACAGUUGCGUAGAUGCCUUAAGGUGAUGUAGAAAAGUUCUGGAGAUGAAGCAGGUCCUUCUUCCAUAUGAAAACUAUACCUCCUCUUCUUCCUACUGCACUAGACUCUAAAUAAGUCUCAAAAUAAAGGAAUUCAGUGAUAUGUCUGUGGUCAACCAUCUUGGUUUCUAGUAAGGCUACCAAGACUGGAUUGUGUGACUUGAUAAGAGCAUCAGAAUGGUGCCUAAAUGAAGAACUGUUGGCUCCUCUAGUGUUCCAAAUGAUGAAGUUCAUAGAGUCAGAGGGGGUGGGUAGAGAGUGGAUAAUUGAUUGUCUCCCCUUGUCCUUUUGAGGGGUCCUCCUCAGAUCUAGUUGAGGGAUCAGAGCUAUUACUGGGGUGACCUGUUCCGUAGCAUUCCUCAGUGUCAAGCUUAGUACUUUCGUCGCCAAGAAAUAAAGUGCAAUAAUAACUGAGCUUGAGGGCUCAUUGAAUUCUUUCUGAAGCGGUUGUCGAGGGUGAAGCUUUCGACAUCUGGCUCCCCAAUUUCCACUAGGAGUUGUUCUAUCUCCAUAUUGGACUGUCUUAGCUCCUCCAGCACUGAUUUAGGUUCUCCUUUUGAGAUUGCGCCCUCUUAGGGCAUUUGGGAGCUUGGCAUUACAUUGGGUUGCUCUAGGGGAUUCCAUGGAAUGAAGUUCAAAGUCCUCAUCUCUGAGAGGUAGGGUUAUGGGGUAGAGCAAGAGGCUUUUGAACAUAUGACUCAUAAGUAAGUUGAGUUCGCUCGAGUUCAUCAUGUUCAGAGUCCCCAGCCUCUGGGCUUGUAGCAAUGUCUGGCACCAGACCUGAUAGCCAAGCCCCGCUACUAUUUGGUCCACUUCCUCUUUCAUAAUUUGUGACAUCCAAGACGGGUCUUGGAUUACUAGGACUAUUGGUUGGUCCUUUAUGAUUAUGUAGUGAGAUAUGAUUUUUUCCUCCAAUGCUAGCUCUGCCUAUAACAUUGGUAGUCGGUUUGCUGGUGGUGAGGUAGUCGUGAGGCUAGGAGGUUCCUUCAGGAAUGUAGUGGUGUUUGGAAAAGGGUUUUCCAUUUAAGAACUGUUGGAAGAUAGCACUUCCUUGAUUGCAAUUUUGAGGCUUUAAAAGGUCGGAGGAGUUAGUGGGAGAUUUAAUUGACAUGACUGUUUUGGUCAUGUCAAUUGUCCUAGGGUGAUGAUGAUCCCUAGUGGCAAUGGAUUACUCCUCCCAGAAUAUGUAGAGACGGAGGAGAGCAUAGGGACUUCCCCAAAGAGGGUGGAUAAUGAGGGGUUUUUCUAGAUAAGGGAAGCGUGGUUGUUAGGAGUUAAUUCCCUUCCUGGGCCAGAACGAGGGUUGACUUUGUGAGGGUCUGGCUUCUCUGUGUCUUGCAAAGGAGGUGGUCCCGGGUGAUCCACAAUAGACUUUCUUUUCCCUUUUUAUUAAAAUUGUUAGUAAUAUUAUUUUUUAUUUUUAUUUAUUCCUGUUUCAAUGGGGGUUGACAGAGUGUUAGAUGGUCCUUGCUGCGAAUUUCAUUGUCGAGAUUGUUAGCAAUAGGCAUGAAUGAAUUGGGGUUCAAGAACUUACCUGCCAUGGCAUCGUAAACCUUUAGCUACGUUUGGUCGCCCCUUAUUUAUCCUCUAGCGUAUUUGGAGGAUUGAUGAGUCUUGGUAGCGGCUCUUUUUUUAAGAAUUUGACUGUUUGCCAUUCCUCAGUUGGAUUUGAAGAUUUGCUGCUUGAGGGCUUGGUCGUGUCAUGGUCCUUGAUGAGUGGUGAGUUUACCACUAAAUCACACUCAUUAUUCAUACACAUUACCUUGUUAUGGAUGAUUAAAUGAGGCAUAAUUGCGAUUAAAUGCACUAACAUCCACUUCUUGCAGGCAUAGUGUUAAAAGGUUGGAAGGAUGUGGAUUGGAGCUCAAAAUGAUCAAAGAGGGAGCAAGAAAGUACAACUGAAGACCUGAAAUAGAAGGGCCUCAGGUACCGCGAUCGCGAUCGUAGCCAGACCUGCACGAUCGCGGCCUAGCGGAGGAUUUCAACCCAAAGGCAAAGCUGUAAUUACACGUGUUGAUCCCAAUUUAACAAAAAUGACUCAAACUCUAUCAUUCAAUCUAUGACAUUCCUUCUUCCCAAAUUUUCUAGUUUUUAUCUUAGAUUUUAUAGCCUCCAUUUUUUAAGAAGAAAAUAUUGUAUAAAUUUUGGGUGAAGAAUACAUUGGAGGCUUUCUAAGUGGAAGAUUUGCUCACUUCCAUUGUUGAUAUUGUGGGAGGGCCAAGUUUGAAGUAACAUUCGCUUAGAUCUUCAACAAUUCAUUUCAAUGGAGAUUAUGGGUAUAUCUAUGUUUAUAUAUCUUAUGUGUGGAUAAAUCUUCCUCCUGGGGUUAUGUGUGAAUAUGGGUUAAAGUGUGUGGGGGUUGUUAUUGCUAGCAUCUAUUUAGUAGUUCAUGUUUAUGGGUUCUAUCAUACCCAAUUUUUACCUAAGGUCAAAACGAGCACGACAUUAUGGACUAAAAAGAAUUGAUUUUAUAUAGAUCUGCCACCCAAUUUUUAAGGAAAAUGAGGAAACCUAUUUUAAUUAUUAACAACUAUAACUUUAUUUAAUCUACGAAACCAUUUUAGAUUCCUAGGUAAGGGUUCAAAUGAUUUCGAAGGGAAGGAAUUAGACACCCUUCAGAAUUCACAAAUGUAGUUCCCGGCCAGACGUAGAUUUUUUACAAGACGAAGAAAAAAAUCAAUGUUUAUAAAUACAAAUCUAAAAUAUGCAUCAAAAUAAUAUAAACAAUUUGCAUAUAAAGAAUGUAUAAAUUACAUAAAUUAUUGUAUAUAAAAAAUGUGUGAAGAUGAUCGAAAGUAUAUAAGAAUGUGUAUGAAAGAAAAAGAAAAAUUGAAUACAGAAAAAUUUAUUUGUAAGAAAAAGAUUACACAAUAUCUUUUAAUGUCUAAGUAUGAAUUAAUUGAUUAAAUAUCUAAAUCAAUUUUAAUACAAAUAUUAACGGCCUAAAAUUUCCUAACGCGUGGUGAGGAUUGCAUAAAUAAAGAAUAUCCCGCCCAACACCCCAAAAAUAAAGAUUUCACUAUAAUUAAUAUUUGUACAAGUAUAAAAGAAUAAAAAUACAAACAUUAAAAUUAAAGCCUUCUUUGAAUGUCAUUCCCGAUGAGUAUCCCAAUAACAUGUAUAAACACUUGUAAAUAAAAUGUUAGUAACAAAUAAAUAAUUAUCAAAAUAAAUUUAAAAAAUAUGUGUGCAUAUAUAUAUAAAAAAAAUAUAAUUUUUUGUUAAAAGAGUGGGCUCAGAUAAAGUUUUAAAAAAAUAUAAAGAUUUCAUCAUUGCCUUAAUUUUAUUUAUUUAUUACGUAUUUGUAUACGUAAUAUCCGUCUUUUUAUUUGUGAAGUCCUCGAAAACAGUGGAAUCGUUGUUUUUAAUGUUUUCUGGCAAUAACUUUGCUGGAAAUUAUUCAGCUUUCACCGGAACUUACCUGUCUAAAAAUUCUUUUCCCGACUAAUUUUCUUCCAUAUUCUAACUGUGUAUGGGUGUGUUCUGUGAUUUGUGAGUACACAGUCAGUGUGCAGUGUGUGUAGAAGAUGAGUACAUGCUUAUGUCAUGACUGAAAAUUAAAGGACAGUGAUCUGAUAUAUAAACAUGGGUACGGAUAAUUUUUAUUUUUUUAUUUUUUGUGACAGUAUGUGUAAAAUAUGUUUUGAAGUAAAUGUGAAAAUUCUAUGCGUGGAUUGCAUGUUUUUCUUUGUUUUUUCACUAGUUUUACAGUUCCUCCUUUCUAAUGCAUCUUAUAAUGUAAGAGAGAAAUUUUUGAAAGAAUGUUUAUAUAUUUUCAAUUACUAUUUUCGAAAGUAAAAUUAUAUCAUCAUACAUUUUUGCUACAAGGUAUCAUGCAUAAAAUCAUACCAUUAUGUAUAUUUAUACACAAAUAGCAUCUUGAAUACUUUAUUCAUACUUUGAUUCCUAAUAAAAUUUAUACAAUAAAUAACGUAGAAUUUAAAAGAAACUUGAGUGAUGAAUUAAGCAGAAAACUCGAAUAUUAUCGUUGGAAACUCGAACGAAACUCCAAUUCAACUUCACUUUUCUUACUUUUUUUUUAUUUUUGCUUUUUUCAGUGUCUAAUCUUGCUCUGGUAUUUUCUGUAUCUGAUAGUGAUGAUAGUGUCCGUCCUUUUUGGGGUAGGUGAGUGUCCUUAAAUACAUGGAUUUGGGGGGAACAAUAUCUUUUUCUGGGGGAGUAGUUUAUCAACAGAUAAGGGAAGAGGAUAUUUUAAAUUUUGAAAUAUAAUAAUAAGUAAUUUUUUAUUUUCUUUCUUUUUAAAUAGAAUACAUAAUAAUAAAAUAAUAAAAUAAUAAUAAUAAUAAAUAUAAUAAUAACUAAUUAAAUUAUGUUUAAUAAAAAUACAAUAAAAUUUAUAAAUAGUCAAAAUAAAUAAAAUAAUAUUAAAACUACUAAUUUGUUUAUUAAAAUGUUAGAAAAGAAAAUAUUUUUAAUUUUUUUAUAUUAUUUUUUAAAUUAGAAUAAAAAUAUAAACAAAAUAUAUCAAAAUUAACUUUAUUUAAUUAUUUACUUUUUAACUUAAAACUUAAACUGAAAUAAGAAUUCAAAUAAUAUCGGACCAAAUAUAAAUAUUUAAUAUUGAAAAAUAUAUAUAUUAAACUCGGGGAGGUUCAAAAUCACGUGUCUACAUUUUGCCCUCUUUGUUUGAAAUCUCGAAGAGUUUUCAUACAAAGACGUAGAAAAAGAGAUGAUUUUUGACCCUCCGAUUAUUCUAAAAGUGAAGAUAAAACACAAUAAAAUAAACUAAAAGACGUGAUCGAGUCCUGGUUUUAGAUCGCCUACAUAUCCCAGGUUAUAAGGGAAUCAGGUCACUUGUAGUUCGAUAAAAAAAAUAAGAGAAAGAGAUAGAAUUCGAGUGAGAUUCCGUCGAGUUUUCGAUUAACGAUUUCUGCCUUUUACAUUAAAUGACUAACAACAAUAAAAAAAUGAAAAAUACAAGUGAAAAUUGCAAUCAAUAGAAUCUUAAUUCUAAUCUUCGUGACUUGAAUUUGAAAAUCCACCCUAUUCUUCAAGCGGACUCCUGGGUUGCUUUUCCUUCGCCCUGUUCUUCAGGCGGGCUCCAAGACUUCAUUUUUUCUUCAUCCUGUUCUUCAGGCGGGCUCCCGAACUUACAAUUUCUUCACCCUGUUCUUCAGGCGGGUUCCUGGACUUACAAUUUCUUUACCCUGUUCUUCAGGUGGGCUCCUGGACUUUCUCUUUUCUUCACCCUUUUCUUAAGGCAGGCUCACGGACUUACAAUUUCUUCACCCUGUUCUUCAGGUGGGCUCCUGGACUUACAACUUUUUUACCUUAUUCUUCAUGCGAGCUCCUAGACUUACAAUUUCUUCACCCUGUUCUUCAGGCGGGCUCCUGGAAUUACUCUUUCUUCACCCUGUUCUUCAGGCGGGCUCUUGGAAUUACAAUUUCUUCACCCUGUUCUUCAGGCGGGCUCUUGGAAUUACAAUUUCUUCACCCUGUUCUUCAGGCGGGCUCCUGAACUUGAAAUUUCGUUACCUUGGUCUUCAAGCGGGCUCCUGGACUUACAACUUUUUCACCGUGUUCUUCAGGCGGGCUACUAGGCUUACAAUUUCUUCUCCCUGUUCUUCAGGCGGGCUUCUGGACUUACAAUUUCUUUACCCUGUUCUUCAGGCGGGCUCCUGGACUUGCAUUUCUUCACCCUGUUCUUCAGGUGGGCUCCUGUAAUUACUUUUUCUUCACCCUGUUCUUCAGGUGGGCUCCUGGAAUUAUAAUUUCUUCACCCUGUUCUUCAGGCGGACUCCUGGACUUGUAAUUUCUUCACCCUGUUCUUCAGGCGGACUCCUGGACUUGUAAUUUCUUCACCCUGUUCUUCAGGCAGGCUCCUGGACUUGCAAUUUCUUUACCCUGUUCCUCAGGCGGGCUCCUGGAAUUACUUUUUCUUUACCUUUUUCUUCAGGCGAGCUUCUGAACUUAUAACUUUUUCACCCUGUUCUUUAGGCGGGCUCCUAGACUUAUAAUUUUUUCACCCUAUUCUUCAGGCGGGUUCCUGAACUUCCUUUUUCUUCUCCCUGUUCUUCAGGCGGGCUCCUAGACAAAAAGUAAAUUCCCAUGCAACACACAUAAAACUUUCCUUACUUGCCUCAGUUUGUUCCAGGAAAUUUUGUACAUAUCACUCGAUCAUAAUCGAGAUCUAGCAUCGGGUGUUAUAACCAUGCUCCUUGCAUUGACAGAAGUGUAAUAUUGCAUCUUUUAUUUGAAAAUUUUAAUGUGAAAUCAAUAUCUCAUCCCUGUUUCAAACAAAAAAAAAUUGUGAGUUUUAAAACAUGUGAUGGUUAGUUUGUGGCAUUUGGUUUUUGAAGUGACCGCUCUUGUACUUGCCAUACAGAACUCCUUUUCAAAUCCUUGAUAAAUAUUUGUUGACUUGUCCUACUUCUGACCUCAAAUUCUGACUACUGAGAUUCUCAAUUCAAAACAUAUUUCUCUUGUAUGAAGUCUCUGGGUUUAACUUGCAAUGCACCUUUUAUUUUUCUACGAGUCAAAAAUUGUCAGGUCACAAUCAUUCAGAGUACUUUAUUAUCCUUUGAAAUAUUAUCCUUGUGCGUCGACCCUUUUGUCUUGCUUUGUAUCAUUAAAGAAUUUGGUAGCAAGUUUGGAGUCCUUUCUCACUUAACCUGACGUGAAUUUGACUAAAAAAAUCCACAAAAUAUAACAAAAAAUUCAUUUGAUGACAAGGACACAAGAAAUCAAAAAUCAAAAUAAGACAAAAAAAGAAAAAGAAAAAGACAAUAGGCAUCUCUUUUUCAAAACAAUAGGAAAACUUAUCUAGAUGUGGAAACUGAUUCUAGUGAUUAUGACAUGCAUUUUGAAUCAAACAACCAGAUCUACCCACACUAAUUAUUACAACUUUUUUCCACUUAUUGAACUUUAAAUUAAGUCAAUCUUGAACUUGUUCCUUCUGGAUAACAAACCUCCUUCGGCUAGUGGUACCUCAAUGGGUUUUUGCCAACGAGUCUAUCUUAUUUUCAUUUCUUUCUCAGCUCACAGUUGUCAUAUGGUGCCCAAAAGGGUUUUCACCAAUAAGACUCUCUCAUUUUCAUUCACUUUUUCUUUUAAGCAAACACCCAAAAUAUAAAUAUCAUGCACCCAUAGCAUGUUUAGCCUUGAUAUUCUCAAAGAUUGAUCUGUAGGUCUUUCUUUGGUUGUAACUUGGCUUUUAGACUGGGUUAGAAAGAAAGGUCGACGUGAAGCUCAAAAUUUAUACAACAUUGGGUAGAACAUACAACUUUUAGAAUCGACUCUUUUUAAGAAAAUAAAAUUUUGCCCUAGUUUUAUUUUAUUCUGGGUAAUUUAAAUUUUCUUUUGGUUGGACCGAACCCUAGAAUAGGGCUGCCUACGUAUCUUGUCAUAGCAAGAAUCAGGUCAAACGUAGCUCAGGAAUCUUGUUCUUUUGCUUGAUUUUCUUUUUUUUUUUUUCUUUUUCUUGACGUUUCUUUUUUUCUUUUAUGUUUCUUUUUCUUUUUUGAGAGAGAGAGAGAGAGAUUUUUCCCAACUUCAUUUUUUCUUGAUACUUUUCUGAAUCUAUUCUUUUCCUAGGCACUUUUCUUUUUCUUUUUUUUGAUUCUUUUUCAGACUCUAUUUUGAUUCCAAAAGAGGUGUACGAAAGAAAAUAACACUAAAGCUCAAAAGGAAUAACAAAGGAUGACACAACAUUUGGGUAGCAGAAUGAAAUGCAUUCUUCAUAUCAAUCCUUAAAAACGGAAGAACAUAACAUGCAAUCUGAGGGUGAAGCAUGAGAUCAUACAUAUCUUUUCAACAUUGACCUUCACUAAGAAUGUGUACAGGUGUCACUUCUGUCAUGCUUAUGAAACAUACAAGUCCACUUGUGUUGUACUUUCUCCACACGAAUGACUCAUGUCUCUUUGGGAGCUAACUUUCUUUCAUUUUUCCUGACUGUGGAGAUUAUAUAUCCUCUGAUUUAUCCCAUGCUUGAAUUAAAUGUUCUAAUUGAUGAUCAAGUCAUUUUUUAUUUACAAAGCGAUUGCUCCAAUUUCAUCUAUAUUAUGAUUUGACUUAUUCUCAAACUGUUUGAAAUGUUUUGCUUAUAUUCUCUAAUAUUUCCUCUUCAUCAUAUUCAACCUCUUUAUUCAUUAUUUCAUAAUUAGACUGGGUUUUAAAAUCUGAUUGAUAAUUCUUCAUACAUGUCAUAUCAUUAGAAUCGGCAUAGAAAGAGCUGUAUAAUAGAAAAUAUAUAAGUAAAUAUUAGACACAAAAUAAAAUAAAGGGAAAUUAUGUUUCAUUAAAAAAAAAUAAAGAUAGACAAUGUUUUAACCUAAAAUACCAAGGUAAAAUCUGAAUUACAACCCUAGAACGAUUCAAAUUGCAGAAAGACAAACAAACAAACUACCAAGACUCCUUCAUAGUAGGGAGAGGAGUGACCUCCCAAUUGUUAAGCUUGACAUCUUAGCCACUGGUUUGCUUAUCAGCAUGACUAGAACUUUCACCACUGUCCAACAUAUUUUCUUCAACAAAUAAAUUUUGGAUCCCCAUGCUUAACUCAUUGUUUCCCACGUAUUGUGCAUUACCAUCUGUUGAUGAAGGAUUCCGUGUGACGCUCACGUAUUGUGCAUUACCAUCUGUUGAUGAAGGAUUCCGUGUGACGCUCGUAGUGUCAAUGUUUUGCACUACAAUCAAUUUUUCUUGAAUCAUCCUUUCUAUUUCUCUUUUCAAAGCACGACAAUCCUCAAUAUUGUGAUCCUGAAUAUCAGAAUGAUAUGCACAUCGUACAUGAGGAUCAAAAUUUCUUGAAUGUGGAUCAGGAGUACACUCAAGGAGAGGAGUGAUUAUGUCCAACUUUCUCUAUCUCUGGAAUAAACUGGCAUACGAAUCCUCAAUUGGUGUAAAAUUAUUCUUUGACUUUCUCCUCUUUGCAAACUCUGGACUCGAUUGAAACUUGGACUUAGAAGUUCGUUGAUAAAUAUAUGGGGGUCCAGGACGAUGUUGAGUAACCAGUGCAUGCCAUUGCGGAUAAGAAAAUGAAUGAGCAUACAACUGUGCAUUGUUCAAAGGAUAUUGAGGAAGUGGAACGAAAUAUCUUGGAUUGUACAAAGAGGAACCUUGUUGCAUGUGAGCAUAUGAAUUUGAUGUACAAAAUCGGGAUUGAAACUGACAAUAUUGCUGAGUUGGACCUCUUGAGCUCUGUUUUGCCCCUGUAACGACAAUAGGUACAUUUUCCUUUUUCUUCCUUUCUGUCCCUCUCAAUUGAGGGAAAUAUCAUCCUAAGUAUUUUACAGAAUCCUCGUACCCAUCAUGUUUCUCAAAUUUCAAUAUCUCAAGGCUUGGAGGAAGUUUAACACUUGAAGAUAUGUCCCCGUCUUUAUAUGCAACAUCUUCAUAAUUUGCAAUUCCCUAAGAAUUUUUCAUAGCCUUUUCUGUGCUCUUUAUUUUUCUAGCCAUCUUCUCUUGCUCUUUUGUCAUGUCAGACUUCUUAGUAAGAAAUUUUGGUGGUCCAACUAACAUAGAUGUGGGCCCAGGAGUAUAAUAGUGAUCAUUAAGAGUGUUGAAUAUUGACUUACUAGCAGAUUGAGGAGGCACAAUCGCCGGAUCAAAAGCUAAGGUGGAAACCUUAGUAGAGGGUGGAGUAACAGAAGCAGAGACUAUAGGUGGUGCUAUCGAUGUGCUAGAUUUAUACUGAAGAUCUAGAGAAUGAGUGAUUGAAACAUUGAUAUUUUUUUGGCUUGGAAUAAAUUCUGGGCAUGUUGUGGCGCAUAACCAACAGUAGAAAAUUGACUUUGCAAUUUUGGUGAAAAACUCAAGGUAUUUGUAGGGUCAAUGGUGGAAAAUGGCGGAGGAGGCAUCCCAAUGGACCAUGCUCGAUACAUUUCCAACAUUUGUUGCCUCAAACUCACAAUCUCUUCUUUUAACCUCUCAUUUUCCUGACUCUUUGUCUGAUCCAUGAUUUCACUUUCUAUAUUCUUGCUGGACAUGACUCUUUUUCUUGAAUUUGGUGUAAUAUGAGGGACCAGCCAAAAUACCACAAAUCAGCUACCUUAAAUUAAUUGUUUAAGAAAUAACAAAGGAGUCAGAAUACAAUAUUUUUUCAAAAACUCUUUUUCUUUUAUCUUCUUUUUGAAAAGAUCACCGAACCCCAGAAGGGAUGCCUACGUAUCUCACUAAGAUGAGAAUCAGGUGUGCAUAGUUCUCGAAAUGUAUGUUGUACGAAACUAAGCCUCAAGACCCCUAAAGGUUCGCAACUGCUAAGAUUUAUAUAUUUUUUAUUUUGUAAAAACUUAGUCUCAUGAUCCCUAAAGAUUCAGGGCUGUUAAGAUUUAUAUAUUUUUAUUUAUUUUGUAAAAACUUAGCCUUAUGAUCCCUAAAGAUUCAGGGCUAUUAAUAUACAUAUAUAAAAAUUGGACCUGAGAAUUAGAAUAAAAAUUAUGAAAGUAAUCAUAUUUUCAAAAUAUUCCCCAAUAAAUCUAUGAAUAAUUUUUCAAAAGAUAGGGUCGUAUCCUGAGAAGGACUUCCUACAUAUCCCACUAAAGAGUGAGAAUCAGACCCUCGUAGUUCAUNNNNNNNNNNNNNNNNNNNNNNNNNNNNNNNNNNNNNNUUUUUUUUUUAAAUGAUUCACUAAAUGUGAGGAUAAUUUAAUCUCUUGUAUUUUAAAGUUGCCUAAAGUCGGUCAACAAAUAAAUAGCCUUCCAAAUAAAUGUCAAAGAGCACGUAGGAUGCACAUGUUGGUCUUUAUGAGGUAGGUCACCUGUCCUAGAUAGACCCGGCCCCUGUGUCGAGUCCCGCAAAGUCAAAUGCAUAUGAUACAAAUAAAGUGGCACCUAAUAGGGAUAACCAGAAGGGAUGAACCCCAGAAGGGAUGCCUACGUAUCUCACUAAGAUGAGAAUCAGGUGUGCAUAGUUCUCGAAAUGUAUGUUGUACGAAACUAAGCCUCAAGACCCCUAAAGGUUCGCAACUGCUAAGAUUUAUAUAUUUUUUAUUUUGUAAAAACUUAGUCUCAUGAUCCCUAAAGAUUCAGGGCUGUUAAGAUUUAUAUAUUUUUAUUUAUUUUGUAAAAACUUAGCCUUAUGAUCCCUAAAGAUUCAGGGCUAUUAAUAUACAUAUAUAAAAAUUGGACCUGAGAAUUAGAAUAAAAAUUAUGAAAGUAAUCAUAUUUUCAAAAUAUUCCCCAAUAAAUCUAUGAAUAAUUUUUCAAAAGAUAGGGUCGUAUCCUGAGAAGGACUUCCUACAUAUCCCACUAAAGAGUGAGAAUCAGACCCUCGUAGUUCAUAAAGAUCGUAAAACUAUGUAACUAAAAAUUUUUCUUUCUUUUAAUUUUUUUUUUUAAAUGAUUCACUAAAUGUGAGGAUAAUUUAAUCUCUUGUAUUUUAAAGUUGCCUAAAGUCGGUCAACAAAUAAAUAGCCUUCCAAAUAAAUGUCAAAGAGCACGUAGGAUGCACAUGUUGGUCUUUAUGAGGUAGGUCACCUGUCCUAGAUAGACCCGGCCCCUGUGUCGAGUCCCGCAAAGUCAAAUGCAUAUGAUACAAAUAAAGUGGCACCUAAUAGGGAUAACCAGAUUCUGAGUUUUCAGUUCUUCUAAAUUUAAGCCUAAUAGGGAUAGGUGUCUAGACUGGCUUACCCGAGCGGACACUCGAGCUAGGGAGGGACAACUUGAUCGAUAGCAGGGCAACACCGCCUUAGUUGCCAAUCUGAACCCCGCCUAACAUGUGUAACUAUAAUCCUUCACCGGGUGUCUUGACACUACGGCUAUCUCAAAAAGAAAGUAGGAUGCAUGCGCUGCAUUCCUUCUAUCCUAUUUCAAAAACUCAGAGGGGGUAUACAAGAGAAAACAGUAUAUAAUACAGUUCAAUCAAUAUCAAAGCGGUAAAUAAGCGACUAGUAGCACAUAAGGUCAACAAACACAAUACAACAAUAAUUAAAGCAAGUAUAAGUCAAUAUAAAAAACUCGAAUUCUUAUUAUUCCCCAGCAGAGUCGCCAGAGAUGUCACAACCUUUUUCGCUCGAAAGGAUAGAGUCGAAGGGUUUUUCUAAUUAAAGUGACGAUAUUGAAUAGGGAUUAGUUUAUUAAUAGAGUCGUCACUUGAAAUUGAGUUAUGGUGUUUCAAGUCACCUUAUUGAAUCUCUAGUCAAAAGGAAAUGACUCAUCAUUAUGGUCUGCGAAAACAAAAUAUCGGGUAAGGAAUUCUGUUGACCGAGGGGAAGGUGUGAGGCACCCCUCGAGUCCUGUGGUUCUAGUACGGUCGCUUUUAUUGACUUAUCUUAUCUAAAACUAUUUUAAUAAAUUAUGUUAAGGUUUAAAAUCGUUCAUAUUAUUAUACUAAAAUUAUUUAAAGCUCUUAUUUUUUAAUCGAUAAAAAAAAUUAAUUUUAGAAAAAUAUUUGUCAAAGUGUAUUUUUAUAUCCUUGAAUUUUAAAAUAUCUCAAAAAGAUAUGUACGCUACAUUCUUAAUUGAGACGAAUAUUUUAAAAGUGUUUAAAAUUUAUUUAAUGUUAAGAAUAUUUAUUUAUUUUUUGUAAAUUCAUAAUAAAUUAUUUGUUUUGAAAAAACUAGUUAACAAUAAUAAUAUUCCUAAAGUAUAUUUAAUUAAGAUAAUUAAUUAAUUUAAGAAAAUUAUUAUCAAGAUUCAUUAUUGAUAAGGAAAUAGUCAAAUAAUUAAUGAAAAUAUACAAACUAUAAAUAAUAAACUAUCAUAUCCAACUUACUUAUUAAAAAAAAAACUAACGAUUCCUUCCACCCAAACACUAUACAGUCAACCACUAAGCAGGAUACUUACAAGAAAUAUUUUUUAUUUAUUUAAACAACAAUAUACAUAUAUUAUCAUUACUUAACACUCUUUUUUUAAAAAAAAAGUAUAGAGAAGAAAAAAAAAACGUUGAUACUGAAACUGAUGUUAACCGAAAAGUUUGGAGAAAAGAAGGAUGGCGCCGAAUUCGGUGAACUAUUUUUCGGUGGGAAAAGGGAAAAUGGGAAGGCACCGGCAUAAUAGUGGUUGCCGGAUUUGGUGUUUUCUGGUGAGAUCUGAGCACGGCUGGCAGUGGUUUUGCCUCUUGGAAUGAAGCAGCGACAGGGAAAGGGAAAGGGGGAGACGCCGGCGGCGCUGGGUUUAGCCGGCUGGUUUCCUGCGUAAUGGUGGUCGCUGGAUCUGAUUCGACGACUGUUUCAAAGGGUUUUUUUCGGGGAAUUACCACCGAAACCGACCAUUGGGUCGGAUUUUGAUGGAUUUUUCAGUGAUGAAGGGUAAUUUUAAUCGCUGUUUUUAACGUUUUCUGGCAAUAACUUUGCUAGAAAAUUAUACAGCUUUCAACGAAACUUACCCGUCUAAAAAUUUCUUUUCCGACUAAUUUUCUUCCAUAUUCUUACUGUGUAUGGGUGUGUUCUGUGAUUUGUGAGUACACAAUGAGUGUGCAGUGUGUGUAGAAGAUGAGUACAUGCUUAUGUCAUGACUGGAAAUUGAAGAACAAUGAUCUGAUAUAUAAACAUGGGUACGAAUAAUUUUUUUUUAUUUUUAUUUUUUGUGACAGUAUGUGUAAAAUAUGUUUUGAAGUAAAUGUGAAAAUUCUAUGCGUGGAUUGCAUAUUUUUCUUUAUUUUUUCACUGAUUUUACAAUUCCUCCUUUCUAAUGCAUCUUAUAAUGUAAGAGAGCAUUUUUUGAAAAAAUGUUUAUAUAUUUUCAUUUACUAUUUUCGGAAGUAAAAUUAUAUCAUCAUACAUUUUUGCUACAAGAUAUCAUGCAUAAAAUCAUACCAUUAUGUAUAUUUAUACACAAAUAGCAUCUUGAAUACUUUAUUUAUACUUUGAUUCCUAAUAAAAUUUAUACAAUAAAUAACAUAGAAUUGAAAUGAAACCUGAGUGAUGAAUUAAGCAGAAGACUCGAAUAUUAUCGCUUGAAACUCGAACGAAAGUCCAAUUCAACUUCACUAUUCUCACUUUUUUUUUUUUACUUUUUUCAAUGUCUGAUCUUUCUCUGGUAUUUUUUGUAUCUGAUAGUAAUGAUAGUAUCCAUCCUUUUUGGGUAGAUGAGUGUCCUUAAAUACAUGAAUUUGGGGGAACAAUUUCUUUUUGUGGGGGGGAGUAGUUUAUCAACAGAUAAGGGGGAGGGGAUAUUUUAAAUUUUGAAAUAUAAUAAUAAUUAAUUUUUCAUUUUCUUUCUUUUUAAAUAUAAGACAAUAAUAAUAAAAUAAUAAAUAUAAUAAAUAUAGUAAUAACUAAUUAAAUUAUGUUUAUGAGAAAUACAAUAAAAUUUAUAAAUAUUCAAAAUAAA
RNAcentral lists this long non-coding RNA (28690 nucleotides) under Capsicum annuum. RNAcentral describes it as "long non-coding RNA (CANN_LNC011948)". Lineage: Eukaryota; Viridiplantae; Streptophyta; Magnoliopsida; Solanales; Solanaceae. The record is from RNAcentral.